RNAcentral lists this transfer RNA (68 nucleotides) under Phascolosoma sp. MZK-2017. Its description in RNAcentral is "tRNA-Ile". The record is from RNAcentral. Lineage: Eukaryota; Metazoa; Annelida; Sipuncula; Phascolosomatiformes; Phascolosomatidae.
GAUAUUGCGCCGGGCCUGAACGGAUAGUCUUGAUGCGGCUAAAUACGUAGAUUUAUCUUCCAAUAUCU